RNAcentral lists this long non-coding RNA (5358 nucleotides) under Homo sapiens (human). RNAcentral's name for it is "HSALNT0315305". Lineage: Eukaryota; Metazoa; Chordata; Mammalia; Primates; Hominidae. The record is from RNAcentral.
GGGCAAUGGGCGGGGCUAAAGGUUAAAAAAGGGAGCGGUUUCUUUAUUUAAAAUUUUUAAAAUUUAAAUUUUGUGUUGUAGGUUCUUUAAGCAUUGACGAGCUAAAGACCAUUUUAAAUUCUAAGCCUAGGGAAGCUUACAAUGGAACUAAUCAGAUGUUUUUAUGUCGGUUUGUUCCGAGACAGUGGAAGACUGGAGGUCAUGUGCUUGUGUCUAAUGUUUAGCAAAAUCUUAGUGAAACGAGGGCGAUAGGAAUGGGGGCUGGGGAAGACUUAGAUGGGAUAAAAAGAGGUGCGGCUGGAAGAACUAAAUCACUUUAAAACUUCUGAAAAUAAAUGUUGACCAUUGUAGUCAGAGGAGUAAAAUGUUCAGAGAAAUGGGGAUGAUUAAACAAGAACGGCAAGCCAGAUUGAGUCAGAAAAUUAUCUUCCUGCCAGAAAUUCUGUCUCCCACAACGGCAUCAGGGGGUGGUUACUUGCCCAGGGUGUAGUCAGUUUUUAAAAAGCUUAAGGGUUACCAACAUAUUCCUAAAUUUCCUGAAUUUGCUGUGAUUCCAGGAUUCAUUUAAACUCUUGAGACUGUUUUACUUUCGGCACGAAAUCAGCUCAUGGGCUUUAUAAAUGUAGAACCUACUGCAUUAUAGUUCUUCUUUUUGUUUAUUCUAAAACUGUUAGUAGCAGCCAGCGUAUUAUAUGAUUUGGAUUGGGCCAUGAACAACCGUAACGAGUGAUAAAGCACCCUUUCCUGUUCCAAUGCAAAGAACAACUAUGAAAAGAAAGUACUGGCAAAUUUAUCAUCUUGUAGUUAGUUCCUGGCCAAAGAAAAUGGUAAGGCCAUUCUUUUAAGCAGUUAAAAAAAAAUGGGGAUGGGCUCUUAAACUUUGGCAUGCUAAGGCCAUUCUUUUAAGCAGUUUAAAAAAAUGGGGAUGGGCUCCUAAACUUUGACAUACUAAAGCAGUCGUCAUUUAGGUAAAAUCUAAGUCUUAAUGGAAAUCGUGAUUUCAUAUCUACUGCAGCGUUAGCAAUCACAUAAUGAUAACUUAAAUCAGUAAAUCGUUGAACUCGGUUCUCUAAUCUUUGAAGAAUAGAAAUACUUUUUAUCCCAAAAGAUGUUUUGAGAAUUAAAUUUGCAGAGAAUUUUUUAGGUCUUUAGUUGUAAUUUAUAGAGCUAGGUCUUUUAACUUUAGUGGAAACCAUGCCCUCCAAACCCAAGUGACUGGAGUCAGAAUGUGAAAUAAGACGACAUAAAAUCCCUAUUUCUUAAGGGGCUGGGCGAAAGUAAUGGAACAAAAUGUAACGUUAUGCUAUUGUGGCAGAGAUAGCUAAUGGAAUGUUUCAUUUCUAAGUCUGUAAUUUCAGUAAUUGUUAGAGGCAGUUUUCCAUCAAUAAGUUAGAUCAAAUGGUUAAACCCAAUAUGAAUUUAUAAAAGCUUAAUUUAAUUUUGGAUUGAUUUACCAGAUGUUUAAGGUGGUUAUAAUGGGUAGUGUUGAUGGUGGUGCUUUUGGAAAAAUGAGUAUUAUAUGCCUGCUCAUCCCUUUACAUUAUCUUAUCAUAUAAACUUCUUGAUUACUCGUUAUGAUACUCUUAAAUCGUACAUUUAGAGGAAAAAUCUUAAAGUAAUCUGUAAGACCAUUUCUCCUUAAAAUGAUAUAUUAUGAGAUGAAAGGAAAGAUAAAGAUAAUUUAGAAGAGAUCCAGAAGUGGACUAAAUUUCUGGUAAGGAGGGGGCUAAAGAUGUUAAAAGACAUCUUAGGAAAAGCAUAUGAUUUAUAACUUUUAAAAGUGUCAUUUAGAUGGUUAAGGAUUUGUGUUUAAUAGUUCUCUUGAAAAUAUUGUUUUCCAAAAGUUUAAAAGCCCUAGCUACUUUUAUACAUUUGCCCUUAAAAAAUGUACAGAAUUUAUUACAUCAAACUGCUACAAAGAAAUAAGAAUUCUGAUUUUUGCAAGUAAGUUGGAAAUCAACGUAGAGGACAAAAAGUGGCAUAGCUAUAUCUAAACAAAAAAGUAUGUAAUUCAAAAGUUGGUCCACAAAGAAUUGAAAGCCUUUCAAUAACUAAUUUAAAUGAUAGAAAGCAGUAUGUAUAUGCAAGUACAUAUGCUCCCUGUAUAGAGAGUGGUUAGUAAGUAAGAUGGUAGCCUAACUCACUGGAAUAAAGAGAUCCUUGGAGUCCCAAACCUCAAGACUAGGAGUCUUAAUGCAGUUACCAGGCUGCAUGCCUGUACCCAGAGACCAUACUAGAGGCUGUGGGAAUCCUCGAUUACUGCUCUUAGAGCCCCCAACUUGACUGUUUCUUCUGUACCUGGUACUUUUUUCAAAUAUUUCAAAUUGCAGUGAUGCAUGGGAGAUACAUUUAGAAAACAUAAUGCAGGGGAAUAAAAGCAGUUAAAAACUAAGGACAGUUUCUACUGAUGAAAAUAAAAAACUGCUACAGCAACAUCUUUUCAUCAUCUGUAAACAUCAUACCCCCAAAUUUUCCUAAGUUAUUAUCUAACCUCAUCAGUAGCAGAUGGUGAAUUAUUUCAUAGAAAAUCCUGGAAUGUAAACUCUAGAUACUCAAGAAAACCUCUUUUUUUUCAAUGAAGGUAUAUUAUAUUUAAAAUAAUAAUGAUGCAUUAAACAUUAUGGGAUAAAGAAAAUACUUUCCAUAGAAAUUAAGCAAUGGCCUAGGCAAAGAGAAGUAACCCUUUAGCAUUAAUACUAUCAGUUAGACAGUGACAUUUAUUGAACAUUCCCUGUGUUGUGUAUUAAGAAUUGGACUACCUAUAUCCCAGUCAACAAUUUUUUCUGGAGUUUAGAAAUAGUUUAUGCUUAUUUUCUGUGUUUUUUAUUACCAAAUUGUUAUUAGUUUGGUGCAAAAGUAAUUGUGGUUUUUGUCACUUACAUGAUGGCAAAAACUGCAAUUACUUUUGCACCAACCUAAUAGAAAAAUACAAAAUGGAGAAUAGUUUUCAGGUUCCACAAAGCAUUUGCUGGAAAUAAAUAUCAGUUGUCUAAAUAAGUAGUACUUGAUUUAUUACUAUGAUUUUCGUAGGGUUCCAUUUCUGGAACAAUAUCAUAUUAAUAAACCCUUUCAGUGAGACCAUUGUGUGGUAUUGCCCAAAAAGGAAAAAAAAAUGUAAUGAGAAAGGACUAAGGCUAAUAAAAUUCCAUAAAUACUAUUAUAAAGAAAAGUAUAAUUUGACUGAGAUGCACAAAUGCUUACUUGAUAAUGAGGUGUUUUUAAGGAAACUUCUAUUAAAUACUCUUUUUGAGUUUAAUAUACUAUGAAACAAUGUUGUCUUUUUUUUUUUUUUAAUGAAGAUUUCCUUGACUUCCAAAGACCUUUGAUGUUCAAGCAAAAUGUAGCAAUUUGGUAAAAGUAAAGGGUGCAUUUCGAACUGAAAUAAACAUAAUGUCCUAUUAAGACCUGUAUUAUAUUUUAUGGAAUUUAACUUAGAAUGUAAGAUAUUAGCUCUGCGGUUUUACAAGCUUGUUUAAAUUCUGCAAUGUAGGGCAACAGAAAAUCCAAACAAAAUCCAUUAAUGACUAUAUUACUUCUUUAUUUUUCUUUUUAAAUAUUAUAUGUGGCCAGUCAGGAUGAAGUUUUUUUUAAACUACAUUUCCUAGUUGGACAGAUCAAGAGUAAGCUCCAGUUUUGCUAUAAUCUCGUUUUGUGAUUGCUGACAAGUCUAUUACUCCCUCAGUUCCCCUAUCACUAAAAAGAAAUAACAUUGUGGUAAAGAGGUGUUAAACUACCAAAUCCACUGAAAAAGUAUGGAAAAAGGUCACAGAUGUGGCAGCUUUGGCAUCUUCAGAAGAAAAGAUAGCAACUCAAUGUGAUACUAUUGGCAAUACCAUUUGUUAAUUGAAAAAAGAAGAAGAAAGCAGUUACUAGACAUCCAUGAUUUUAUGGAGAAGCCAUAUUCUGUCAUAGAUGAGCUAUUUACAGACAUUCAAUGGCACAUUCUUUGACAAAGUGAAUCAUCACUGUCUAGUCUUUCUUGUAUAUGAAUUUGAAGUAUUGAUUAAAGUUGUAGCAUACCUGUAAUUUUAAACUGUAAAACUCUAACACUCACAAAAGAACAUUGAAAGACUGCAAAUUUCUAGACUUGGAGGUUAUAAUUCCUUCUGUAUGUUACUACUAUCAGCUUAUAAAAUUUUAAAAAAUGUGAGUGUAGAAACUUAUAUAAACUGUAUUCACACAUGAAGGAUAGCCUAAAUGCUCCGGACUGAUAAUCUGAAGGUCAUUCUCACCUGGCUGAUUGAACUACUUUUAUUCAUAGAAGCCAAAGUUUUGAAAGGUACAGAUAGAAUCUUGACUACCUUGCAUUCGCAGUUACGUUUUAAUUGCAAAAUAACAAGCUCUUUAGUCACUGGAAACAAAACACUUUUAGCAUUUAACUUUAUAAUACUUGAAAUCCUACCUUGAAAGCAUUCAUACUCAUUAAAAGCUCAACACAUGAUCCAUGUUUACAUAAGGAUUUGGGUGUUGCUUAAAAUGAUCAUGUAAUGAGCUGCUUCUCUGCAAAUUAAUAUUCACUCCCUUCCCUCAUCCUUAAUGUGGGAUCUUUGAAGGAAAAGGAAGUGACCAAACUAAAGACAUAGGGAAAUGCAAAAUCAAGGUGAAAAGUUACCCAGAGGGUUGUUUUAAUUUUGGCCAUCAACCCCCUAGUGAAUAAUGGUAACAGUAUUGUUUUGAGACCCAUUUUGUGGCAUUUACCUAUUGUUAAACUAAAUUGACUAGAUGUAAAUAUAUUUUCAUCUUCAGAUAUUUAGAAUUUCUAUCCUUCCCCAUUGUUUCUGGAUUUUGAUACUAAUCUUUUUUCUUUGCAUAUUGUAUAUAUUUACUCAACAACUAAUCUAAUUUUAGAUUUUUAGCUUAUCCACAUUUCAUUUUUGUUUAUUUCAUUGGUAUUUCAUCAAUACAAUGGCUCUACCCUUCAAGGAAAAAAAACAUCAGCCCGUCCCACAAAAACACAUAUAUUCAAGAAAGAUAAAUUACAUUGUGAUGAUUCAAUCAUAAAGCUACUCAAGGAUGUGCUCCACCAAAAUGAGGAUAUGAAGCCAAUAUAAAGGAAGGCAAUGAAUACAAGAGACAGGCAAAGGGAGUUCCCAGGACAUAAGCAAGGGACGUCCCAGGUAGCAAGUGUGCACCUGGUGUCCAGGGCCAUCUGUCCAGGGAGAAGUCAGCUGCCAUGUCAUGAAGACGCUCGAGUAGCCCUAUGAGAUUCCCAUGUGAACAGAAAUUGAGUCCUCCUGCCAACAAUCAGCCAUAAUUUGCAAGACACGUACAUGAGCUACCUUAGAAGAGAAUCCCUGGGCCCCAGAUAAGCCUUCAGGCAUGGUGGCUCACUCCUGUAAUGCCAGCACUUUGGGAAGC